Long non-coding RNA from Homo sapiens (human), 1760 nucleotides. RefSeq lists it as uncharacterized. The record is from RefSeq and is a predicted model, not a curated record. Lineage: Eukaryota; Metazoa; Chordata; Mammalia; Primates; Hominidae. The transcript has 3 exons.
GCCACACUGCGGGUGCAGAGUCACCUGGAGAGGGCUCCAGGCCAGGGCACAGUCACUGAGCAGGGAAGAGAAAGGACGGCCGGGAGCCCAGCUGUCAGCAUAGCGGCCAUCUUAUGGCUGAAGGGUACUGAGGCUGAGCUGGGCAAGGAGAACUCGGAAAGCAGAUUGUGGAGCUGACUAUGGGGAGGCCUGGGUCCUGCCACAGCCAUUUUCCUGCCAAGGGAGGCUGUGACUGAGCGGGCUACCCAGCCUGGGAAACUGCUUUUUCCAUGGAACUGUGCAACCCACAGUUCAGAAGAUUCCACUUGUGAACCCUUGCCACUGGAGCCUGAGAUCUGAACCCUGGAGGUUGAAGGUAUGCCAGAGCGUGGUCAUUGAGGACAAGUUGAUGAGAGAUUCCCGAGUACAUCUAUGGUCAGCCUUGCGACAUUUGAUUCUACAAUGAACCCAUCGGAGAUGCAAAGGAAAGCACCUCCACGGAGACGGAAACACCGCAAUUGAACACCAUUGACUCAUAAGAUGAAGAAAAAGGUCAUGUCAGAAGAACAGAUGAAGUUGCCAUCCACCAAGAAGACAGAGCCGCCGACUUGGGCACAAUUAAAGAAGGUGACACCGUUAGCUAAAAAAAAGCCUGGAGAACACAAAGGUGACACAAACUCCAAAGGGUAUGCUGCUUGCAGCUUUGAUGAUUGUAUCAAUGGUGGUAAGUCUCCCCAUUCCUGCAGGAGCAGCUGUGGCUAAUUAUACCUACUGGGCCUGUGUGCUUUUCCCGCCCUUAAUUCAGGCAGUCACCUGGAUGGAUAAUCCUAUUGAAGUAUAUGUUAAUAAUGGUGUAUGGGUACAUGGCCCUACAGAUGAUCGUUGCCCUGCCAAACCCAAGGAAGAAGGAAUGAUGAUAAAUAUCUCCACUGGAUAUCGUUAUCCUCCUAUUUGCCUAGGGAGAGCACUAGGAUGUUUAAUGCCUGCAAUCCAAAAUUGGUUGGUACAAGUACCUACUGUCAGUACCAUCAGUAGAUUCACUUAUCACAUGGUAAGGGGAAUGUCACUCAGGCCAUGGGUAAAUUAUUUACAGGACUUUUCUUAUCAAAGGUCAUUAAAAUUUAGGCCUAAAGGGAAACAUUGCCCCAAGGAAAUUCCCAAAGGAUCAAAAGACAUAGAAGUUUUAGUUUGGGAAGAAUGUGUGGCCAAGAGUGCAGUGAUAUUACAAAAUGAUGAAUUCAGAACUAUUAUAGAUUGGGCAACUCAAGGUCAAUUCUAACACAAUUGCACAGGACAAACUCAAUCAUGUCCCAGUGCACAAGUGAGUCCAGCUGUUGAUAGUGACUUAACAGGAAGUUUAGACGAACAUAAGCAUAAAAAAUUACAGUCUUUCUACACUUGGGAAUGGGGAGAAAAAGGAAUCUCUACUUUGAUUGGACUUCAGCGAAGACUCCAAGAUGGCAAUCGCCACCUCGGAUACCCUAACUCAGCAUUUCCGGGUUCACCUUUCCUGUUCCCACCACCCCGACUAACGCACAUGCCCACUAGGGCGUGUCACACUCAGAAGUGUGAAACUCAACCGAUCCCGCCCCUACCCCGACCACUCCUCACCCAGCAUCCAUAAAAGCGCGCUGCACCUUUCGCACAGCGUGACUUCCCCUGGCGGACCAGUGAACCUCACCGGAGAGCUCAAUAAAGAAGAUUUUUGCCCUCUUUGUCUUGCCUCUUGGCCUUAUUGAUCCACGGUGCCUUUCCAUUGCCUUUCAUACUCCAAGACCAAA